AUCAAUGAGUCAAUCAAAAUAUCUAACCUACAAUUUCAUACGAUAUUCGAACUUGACAACUCGCAGUACAGAACAGACUCGCAGUGUGAAGCUUUGACUAUAAUUUAUAUAAUAUAAUCAAAGGUGUGAAGUGCCAAGUGCCAACUGUCAAAGGGAAUUCAAUAGCAGCAUUCAAAAGUCCCUAGAUUUUAACAUAAUUUUGACAUAAUUCGUGCACAAAGUUGAACUUGUUUCAACUUUGUGUACGCACACAAGGAUUACAUAAAACGUUCAUAAGCAUAAGAAUUACGUUCGUCCACUGUGAACAGGGGUACACGUUUUCCAUCGUUUCAACUUUAUGUAUUUAUUUACUUCUAGAGAGACAGAAUGUGGUGAAUAGAAUCAAGACGUUAACAUUUACUUUUCCUAAUUCGGAAAAUUAUUUAAAAAGAAAAUGGUUGGCUGCACUAAAGAGAAUGAUUUUUGAAACUUCUGCUAACCAAAGCCGAAGCAGACAUUGAAACAAGCUAUUUUCAUGAGAGGUCUGGACAGCUUCUUUAGUUCAUCCACAAUCGAAGCAGGGUGAAAAUAGCUGUUACAUACAGAAUCAGUUUAUAGAAGCGAAACUACUAAAUUUGGUAAAACUUUACAAAAGGCACUUCUCGAUUUCGCACAAACUGUUUGUAGGUUUGGCAAAAUUUGUACACGGAAACUACCAUAAAUAACGUGGGAAUAGCAUCACGUUUCAGCAAUUUUCUUCCUGAUUCAGAUGCUUUAAAACAUGAUUUCAGGAAAUGUAAACUGCAAACAACCGUUUUGUCCGAUAAUCUUGGGCACUCAUCUACAAUUUUUCGUAUUCAGAAGUGUCUUUUUUAAUAAAAUAUGUCAAACUUUAUGCAAACAAAAAUAGGUACUUAAUAAAAAUAUUUAUUGAAGAUUUACCGGUAUUAGGAUAUAUUUUUCCCAACCAUACUUGUCUUAGCUUAAAAUUAGAGGGAAACUCAUGAAAGGAUCUUGAAGGAUCUGUGGAGAAACACGACGGAACACAACAAAACGAAUAAGGCAUUUUAAAAUGCGAAACACAACACAAAGCACUAAAACAAACGUAAACAAAAACAAAACGAAACGGCGAUUGUAAAUCUCGGAUCUAUUUAAGCCACAAAUAAACUAAAACAGAUUAGACACAAGAGACACGUUGAGGAAUGACAAAUACUCCUGUCACAAUUUUUGAAAAUUAUCUAGUAGUAGGCAGGUGUCUUUUUUGGCGUUUAACGGGUAAGUGGCUCUACGCGGAGAACACGAAAACUAGACGAUUGAGCAGGCCGUAGUUAAUAGAGAAGGUCGUGCUCUAGUAAACAUUUUGUGUCACUUACUGUCAUUCGUUUUUUUCAAAAUUCAAAGUACAGGAAAUAUUACCACAAACAAAAGAGAAUGGACAAAAAUAGAAUAAAACUGACAAGAAUUAAGUAAAUUAUUUAUACUUUUAAAAUUUUUCUGCUUUGAGGCAAAUGUUCGACAGAACUGGUUUUGCGAUUAUUGUCAAAACCAUAAUGCAGAUCUCAUUUUGGUGCUGCCUACAAACCAAUAAAGAAUUCUUUUGUAAAGUGGGCUGUAAAAUCUUGAUCAGUUGACCGCAUGUUUUUUCUUUUUUUAAAUAAGGUAAAAUGUCCUGUAUUACAUCGGCGAUUCUUUUUACAAGCCCCACAAAAAGUUCAUUCGGAUACACUAAUCCACCAUGACCCUGAAGAGUUAUUAAUUUCAGGAGAGGUCCAGGCAUUGUAGUUGACACUAAUGGAGCAAUGCAAUCAUCACAUUGAUAUAUUUUUUGUAAUUUCAUUAUUAUGUAUCCGGAUAAAAAGGCUACUGAUGCAGAAUAGAGAUUCAUUUCAGGUAUUUUAUUUCUUUGUAAGGAAUGGAUUUUAAAGCGUAAAUUCAUCAACUGUUGAUUUUUGAUGGGAGAGUUCAUUGCGGCUAAUGUGACUUAAAGUUCUUACAGUGUUGGCAGAUGACGAAGAUUUUAGAAUUCCAGUUCUUAGAAUUUGACGUAAGGCAUAUUCAGCUGCACGAGCGUCAGUAGCAUCAUUUGAGCCUCCUUUUAAACGAAUAUGCGAAAAUGUCGCUUCCACAGCAUCUGAACUAAAUGAGCGAGUUAACACAUAAUAAAAUCCAGCUUGUGUCAGAAGAAAUUGGACACAUAAAAAUGUACUCUUUGCAAUAAAUUUUAGAGCAUGUGCUGUUUCGCUGCUUAAACAUUUAUAUCCUGUGCUGGCUGAAGUGGACUGGAUAUCAUCUAUGUAAUUUUGGAAAGUAGUAUUCAACCAAUGGAGGCGUUGAUCUGAAAUGUUUACAUAUGGGGCAACGUUGCUAUCUAGUGCAUGAAUGUAAUGUCUUCUACUUGAGAUGUUAUGGACUUGAAAAAAAAUGGAACAUAUUUUCCAUAUACAAAAUUACAUUACAAAACUAUCAACAAAGUCUUCAUAUUUCUCUUCUUUUAAUAAUUUUAGUGCUGAGGUAACCGUUGGGGAAAAUAUCUGCACAGCCCGCAAAACAUUCAUUUUUCAAGAUUUGAAGGAUAUAAAUGCUUUUUUGUAAGAUAUCUGACGGGUUUCAAAGGCCAUCCUCUUUGCAAACCGUAUAAGGCCUUUAAAUAGGACGAGGAGAUAACACCGGUUGUCGAAUUCAUAUUAUGACUUAAAAAAAGGUUCCUGGCAUUUUUAAUGGCAUGGCAAUAGUCAAACGAUAAAAAUAUGGGCAUAGGAAGAUAUGGGUGAUUAAAAUAAUUUUCCAGAGUUCCUCCACACAAGUUCUUGAACAAAGCCACAUUGGACGGAUGGUUAUCUGUUACAAUGCGUAACACCAUAAAACCACAAUCUGUGAGAAGUUUAAUAACUUGCAAAGUUAAAGAAUGAAAAUCAGAGGCCGGCAUUGAAGAAUGGAAAAAGUACCCAGCUACAAUAGUAAAGGAUGCUGACAGACCAUUUUCUACAAAACACGCCAUUUUAUUUGCAACUUUGGGAUGUUCUG
This is a long non-coding RNA of Zophobas morio, 3003 nucleotides long. RefSeq lists it as uncharacterized. The record is from RefSeq and is a predicted model, not a curated record. The transcript has 4 exons. NCBI's taxonomy places the organism in Eukaryota, Metazoa, Arthropoda, Insecta, Coleoptera, Tenebrionidae.